UAAAAUUCUAUGAAAGGAAUAGUAGAUAUAUUAUUAGUAUCUUAAGCGAGUAGAGGAUGGUGUAAGCUCUAUGAGAAAGUAUGUAUUGAAGACAUCCUGGAGAAGUUUAUCUGAAGGUAUUAAUAUGCAGGGAGUAUUUGGAUUUCCCUAGUAUUUGAAAGUUAAUUUUAGUAGGAUAAGCCGGAAGCCUCCGUUAAAAGGUUAGAGAUGACUUAGUUUAUUUGCUUAGUCAAAGUAGAAUGGCACCGUGAAGAUAAUGCUUUCACUUCUAUA
RNAcentral lists this non-coding RNA (273 nucleotides) under Clostridium saccharoperbutylacetonicum. RNAcentral's name for it is "T-box sequence". It matches the Rfam family "T-box leader". From Rfam's summary of the family: Uncharged tRNA acts as the effector for transcription antitermination of genes in the T-box leader family. T-boxes are found upstream of many aminoacyl-tRNA synthetase genes and some amino acid biosynthetic genes usually in Gram-positive bacteria. Lineage: Bacteria; Bacillati; Bacillota; Clostridia; Eubacteriales; Clostridiaceae. The record is from RNAcentral.